Piliocolobus tephrosceles (Ugandan red Colobus) is the source of this 4592-nucleotide long non-coding RNA. The record is from Ensembl. Lineage: Eukaryota; Metazoa; Chordata; Mammalia; Primates; Cercopithecidae.
CCGCAGUAAGUUAUAAAAAUCAGUUUUUAUUAACUCAUAAUAAAAUUAGUUUUUAUAAUAAGUUAAAUAAUAGUAAAGGAAAAACUUUCGUUAAGUAUGUUCGUGAUUAUAACGCAAAAAAAUGUGAAAAAAAUGGAACAAAACACAUAAACAAAAAUAUAGCUAUAAAUUUUUUUUUAAAAAUCGAGUGUAUUAUUUAUAUGAUUGAAAAACAAAAAUGUAAGAGCAUUAUAAAAAAUAUCAUUGUAUUAAAACAAAUUAUACAAAAUAAUGUGCCACUAUUUUUAUGUAUACAAAAAAAACUGCUUCGACAUUACAAUGGGCAAUGUACAGAACCAUCUAAUAUUUAUUCAAUUUUUUGCCAAAUAAAUAAAUUGAUUAAAAAAAAAAUAUAUAUAUCAUGCUAUAAUAAUAUGUUGAAUCAAAUUAAUAACUAUGCAGAAUGGACAACUUUUGUUUUUUCUUCCAAAGUAAAUGAACAUACAUGGAUAAAGGCUUGUGUGUUAUAUAUGCAUUUCUUUAUAUAUAUGUUUACUUUGUAUAUUCAACUAUUACAUAAGAGUCUAUUAAAAUAUAAAACGGAUGCAAAAAAAAUUUAUAUACUAUUCAAAAUUAUAGUUAGGAAUGAUUAUGAUUCUUUUGGUAAAAGAUAUAGGAGAAAAAAAAUAGUGCAUAAUGGGAAAAGAGUGUUAAUAAAAAAAAGAUUCCUUAUGUUGAGAGGUAAUAAUGGUAAUAUCAUUAGGGGUGGCAGUAGUAGUAAUAACAACAAUUGCGAGAGUAGCUAUAACUACAUACUAGGGGAUACCGUUUUUUACAAAAGCUUGUUUUUCUCCAUUAUUUACACUAUUUUAAAAACAAAAAACAUCCUUGACUAUUACACUGACUUAAAUAAUUGUUAUAAGAGUAAUACAAAAGGGAAAGAAAACAUAAAACACAUUGCAUUAUUACAAUUUGUAUUAGUUUUAUUAAAAAUUUUGAAUAAUACUCAUAAAAGCAAUUAUAAGUUAAAACAUUGUAAUGAUAACAAAACAAAAAUCUAUAAGUUAAAAAUAAAAAAGUUAUGUAUUUUAAUUAAAAAUCAAAUCAUAUAUAUACUGUUAAAAAAAAAAAUGUUUAACUCAUUUGAAAAUAAUUAUAUUAUGUUAUGUAAAAAACGUUAUUAUAAGAUAAGAAAGAAAAACUUUGAAUGGAAAAAAAAUUCCCAAAAAAUAAUGAACAUUUUAAUUAAUGGAAAUAAAAAAAAAAGAAAUGAAUCUUAUAAAUAUUAUAAAGUAUAUGAACAAUUUCUUAUAUUAUUGAAAAAAAACAAAAAAAUGUUUAAAAAAAAAAAAGAUCCAAUGAGAAUAAGAACUUUUCAAAAUGACAUUUAUUUGUUUAAUUAUAGAAAUUCGAACAUUAGGAAAAAUAAAUAUAUGCUUUUUGAUAUACAAAAAAUAAAUAAAAUAAGUAUUAAACUGAAUGAAUUUUACAUAUACAUGAUUAAUAAAUAUUUUUUAUAUUACAUUAUAUUAAUAAAUAGUAAAAUAAUAUCAACACAUGUGUUUAUGUUUAUGAAACAAUUUUUAAAAAUUAUGAUUUUAAUAUGUGAACAAAAAUCUUUUACUUUAGAAUUUUAUUUAUAUAAAAUAAAAGUUUUAGAGUUCAUGUUGUAUUCUGUAAAUUCGUUAGUCGUAGUUGCCAAUGAGCAAGGGGUAAACGUAGAAAAUAGGGACAAUAGUACCAUUACUGCAACUACAACUGCAACUACAACUGCCACUGCCACUACAACUGCCACUGCCACUACAACUGCAACUGCAACUACAACUGCAACUGCAACUACAACUGCCACUGCCACUAUAACAUUUGCAAAUGCUAAUAAUAGUAACAAACAUUGUUACAAAAAUUAUAGUAAUAUAAAUAGCAGUGACAAAAAAAUUCCACCAUUAAACUUAAAUUCUAUUAAUGCGUACAAAACAAACAAUAUAAAAAGUCAUAUUAUAAACCAACAUAACAUAUAUAUCGCUCCAUUAUCCAUAGGACGUAUUAGUAAGUCAUCUACAUGUUUAGAUAAUAAAAACACAACAAUUACACGCGAACAUUCGUCGAAAGUUCUUUCAAACUCAUAUGAUUCUGAAACAUUGCAUUGUAAAUCAAACAAUAGUAAAUAUAGUUUAUUUUUAGGUACAGAAAAAAAGAAAAGACAAAAAAAAAAUUUACUUUUUCACAUUUUUCCAAUAAGAAAUAAAAGAAAAAAAAAGCAAAACAAAAUUAGUCAUAAAGGACAAACAAUACUUAAUCCUUAUAUCUUACGUUUUAUAUUCUCCUUACUAUUAUCCAGUAAUAAAAAAAAUUUAAAUGAUUUUUAUUUUAAUGAAAAUUAUUAUUCUGAUUAUCAAAAAAUAAAUAAAAAUAUAGGGAAAAAAAUAUUUUUAAAAAAUAAAAAAAUAAAAAAAUUAUUAAACGAGUAUAUAAAAAUACUAAAUGAGUUUUUUACAUUUAACAAAUUUAGUAAUUCAGAAGAAAUAGAUAUUAUGAAAAUUAUGCAAAACUAUUGCAACCAUAGCAUAAAUAAAACAUCUGGGAUGAAACACAAAAACAGGUGUGACCAGCAUGGAAAUUACCGCUACAAAAACAAGCACAACGCAUUAGCAAUUCUUAAACCCAAACAAAUGAAUAACAAAAGCUAUGAAUUACUUUAUAAUCUGUCAAUAAUCAAAAGUAUAAAAUUGUUUACUAUUUUAAAAAAAAUAAAUGAACAUGGUAAUAGCACAAUCUAUUUAUGUUCUCAUUCAUUGUUUCGUAGUAAACUAUUCGUUAUGAAAUUAAUAAGCAUAAAAAAUGAUAUCAAUGCAAAUUAUAUCUUUAAAAAUAUAUACACAGAAAUUAAGUGUCUACUCAGUUUGAGACAUGCAUAUAAACAUAACAUAUAUUCAUAUGGUGUUAUUAAGGAUAAAUAUAACAAUAAUUUUACUUACUAUAUUGUUAUGGAAUAUUAUUUUUGUAAUCUAAAAGAGUUUAUAAGGGAGAUAUAUACAAAUUAUAGAGAAGAAAAAAAGAAAAUAAAAAAAAAAACAAUUUUUUUUUCAUUUGAGUGUGGCGACAGUGUAGGAAAAAAAAACAAAAACAAAAAACAAAAACAAGGGCAAAAACAAGGGCAAAAACAAGGGCAAAAACAAGGUAUAUGUAUAUCCGAGCUAGGAAAACACAAAAGUGUUAAAAACACAAAAAAUAGUCAUUGUUACAUUUUAAAUAAAAAUAAUAUAUAUAAAAAAGAGAUUAUAAAUAUAUACCAAAAUAUAAUCAUAAAAAUUAGUUAUAUUAAAAUAUUAGAUUUGAAAUAUAUAUUAUUUAUUUUAAAUAUUUUUAAACAAAUAGUGGAACAAGUAAGGUACUUACAUAAAAAAGGAGUUGUACAUUUUGAUAUCAAUACUUCUAAUAUUUUAAUGAAUAAAAAAAAGUUUGUUACAUUGUUAAAUACAGGAUGUUUUGCUUUUACGAAUUAUUUCUUUUCCAAAAUUAAUGAACCAUAUUGUAAUGUAAAAAAAAAACAAAAAAAAUAUAUAAAUUCGAAAACACGUAACGUUUCAUCAAUUCCAUGUGAUCAUAACGUUGUUACAAAUUUUGAAACUACCAUUAUGUCUUAUUUUAAUAGUAGCAUAAAAAAUAAUAACAAAAAAAUAGUGUAUAAAAACAAUAAAAAAUACUUACAUCUCGGUUUUAACAACUUAGUAUAUUCAACGCAAGUAUUUACAAAUAAAAACCAUAAACGCAUUGUUAUACCAUCAGCUAUUAUUAGUGAUUUUGGAGAAAGUAAAUUUUUUUUUAGUAAUAAAGAUUUUCUUUUUUUUAGAUCAAACAGGGGUAAUGAAAUGAUGGCAGCUCCAGAGUUAAUGGUAACAUCUGACAAGUCUAUGUCGAUCAAAACUCGUAAGAGCAUAUUGUGUAGUCACAAUACAAGCAGAAAAAAAGAUACAUACAAAACUGCACACACUCAUAGAAAAAAAAUAAAAAAUAGUAGCACUCUAAGUAGUAGAAUAUCAGGAAGUGGCACACCAAACAGUACCAUACUAAAUAGUAAGACACAUAAAUAUACAAAUUUUAAAAACAUUAUUAACAUGAUGCAUAAAAAAUAUAUACUUUUUUUUAAGUGGCCAAUUAAAUAUAAUGAGUUAAGGAGAGAAAAAAUACGAAUAAAAAAAUGUGAAUACAGGGUACUCCAAUUUUUUAAAAAUAUAAAAAAAAUAAAAAUGAUAAUAAAAAAAAAACAUACAUUUAAAAAAAAGAAAAGUAACAUACUAAAAAGUGAUAUAUGGUUAUUAGGUGUUUUAUUAUUCGAAAUGAUUACCAAUGAAAAUUUAUUUAAUGAAUAUAAUUUUCUAUAUAUAAAAAUAUAUAAAAAAAAAGAAUUGAUAGAUAAAAUCAUUGACAAAAAAAUAAAUAAUCAUUUAAAGAGAUUAAAGACUUUUUUAAUUAUUUUUUUCAAUUCGAUUUAAAAAAAAGAAAAAAUAUUUAUGAUGUACAUGUAAAAUGUAACGCACUUUAUAAUACAUAUUUUAAAAAAUUAGAAACAGAGGAACAAAUAUUAAGAAAUAUAUACAAAUCUAAAUUUUGUU